Molecule: ribosomal RNA, 402 nt
Filed under: uncultured bacterium
Lineage: Bacteria
Description: bacterial SSU rRNA
Rfam family: Bacterial small subunit ribosomal RNA
Source: RNAcentral
GGGAGUAUUGGACAAUGGGGGGAACCCUGAUCCAGCGACGCCGCGUGAGUGAAGAAGUAUUUCGGUAUGUAAAGCUCUAUCAGCAGGGAAGAAAGAAAUGACGGUACCUGACCAAGAAGCCCCGGCUAACUACGUGCCAGCAGCCGCGGUAAUACGUAGGGGGCAAGCGUUAUCCGGAUUUACUGGGUGUAAAGGGAGCGUAGACGGUAAUGCAAGUCUGGAGUGAAAUGCAGGGGCUCAACCCCUGAACUGCUUUGGAAACUGUAUGACUGGAGUGCAGGAGAGGUAAGUGGAAUUCCUAGUGUAGCGGUGAAAUGCGUAGAUAUUAGGAGGAACACCAGUGGCGAAGGCGGCUUACUGGACUGUAACUGACGUUGAAGCUCGAAAGCGUGGGGAGCAAAC